This is a non-coding RNA of Schistosoma mattheei, 45 nucleotides long. NCBI's taxonomy places the organism in Eukaryota, Metazoa, Platyhelminthes, Trematoda, Strigeidida, Schistosomatidae. The record is from Rfam.
AUCUGGCUGACGAGUCUUAAGUUGGACGAAACGCAAGUCCUGGAU